GAUACAUACAUAGAGGAAGAGAGAUAAAUUGAUAGAAAGAUUGACAGUUAUAUAUAUAGAUUUAAAGAGAGAGAGAGAGAGAGAGAGAGAGAGAGAGAGAGAGAGAUAAAUGAACGACACCUUAACCAAGUUGUAACAAGUUAAAGCGAGAGAGUAAAUUCUAUCACUUGGUUGUUAACCAACAGAACUCAAACCACAGCAACACUAAACGGCAGCAACAAAACACAGCAACCGUAUCUUCAAAACAGACACCAACCAACUCCAACAGUCAAAAGAACGCUUACUAAAAGAAAGGAGGAAAAAAAAAAAAAGAAAAAUCAGGCAAAGCACCACACCAUAACUGUAGUUGCACACACCUCCGCCUUUUUUCUUCUUAGUAAUUGCAAUUAGUAAAAAGCAAUUACCCACACACAAUAACUUCCAGUAAAAAAAAUAUAUAUAAUGAAUAAGCAUGAAAAAAAUAACUGUUUUUAAUAUAAGCGCAAGACUUGAAAUUUGAAGGAGGGAAAAAAAGAGAGAGAGAGAAAGAGAAAGGGAAAGAGGAAGUUAGUCGAUUAAAUCGGGCCCCGAAUAGUUGAUUGGUACUGUUAUUUUAUCGAUCCGAUCUCCUCUUCUCUGGAAAAAGAGAUGAAAGGCGAAGUUCAUCUCGGCUGGAAUUGAACUCAGACAUGUGAAGUGAAGUGGUGUUGGUGUGCCGUCGCUAAAAAUAAAUAAAUAAAUAAAUACCGCAUGGCAAUUUUUUUUUUUUCCAACGCUCUAAGAACGAUUCUUUUACUAUUAUAAAAACUCAGAGAAAUACGAAACACAAAAAUAAAUAAAUGAAAUAAAAUAAAAAUAAAAACCAAACGCCAAUAAUAUCAACCAGUAGCAGCAGCAGCAACAAUAACAACAAUAAUAACACGAGCAUUAGCAACAACAUCACAACACAACAAACCAGCCUACAACAGUAACAACAUCAAUAACCUUAUAACAUCACCACCACAACCACCACCACCACUAUCAUUACGACGGCUACCACUGUUGCUUCACAACCGGACAUUACUCUCAACUUUUACUUUGAUUUCUUAGGAAUAUCUCCCUCCUCUCAUUCUUUUUCACUUUUAUUUAUGUAUUUCAUUUUCCCCCUCACUAUUUUCAAUUUUCAUUUUAUCUGUUAAGCGAGAAACCAGGAACUUAUCUAUCAACAUCGGCUGGAUUGAACGGGCUUUUUACUUACCAUUUGAAAGGAUUAUCGCUAUAUUAUAAUUUAAUAUUAAUUUAAUUGUUAAGAAUAUUGCACACACACACACACAUAUACACACACACACACUCACACACACCAAACACACGUACACUAUAUAUAUAUAUAGGCAUAUACACACACACACACACGUAUAUACAUGCACAUACGUAUACACUAACAACAGCUUCCUCCUUACACAUUAACCCUCCCUCACUCAUACAAACGCACGCACACACACACACACAGAUAUAUAUAUAUAUACACACACGCGCGCUCACAUACAUACAUACGAAUACGUAGAUCCACACAUACAUAAAUUCACAAAUACAUACACAUACACAUAUAUGUUUUUAUAUUCAUUCUAUGUGCUAAACAUUGGAGACUAUCUACGACGAUGAUGAACCGGUGUAAAGACACCAAGAUACCCCCCCAGAGGGGUGAAAAGGGG
RNAcentral lists this long non-coding RNA (1670 nucleotides) under Octopus vulgaris (common octopus). The record is from RNAcentral. Lineage: Eukaryota; Metazoa; Mollusca; Cephalopoda; Octopoda; Octopodidae.